This 471-nucleotide ribosomal RNA is filed under the name uncultured bacterium. Its description in RNAcentral is "SSU rRNA". It matches the Rfam family "Bacterial small subunit ribosomal RNA", at positions 26 to 518 of the family's 1533-position model. The record is from RNAcentral.
AGGACGAACGCUGGCGGCGCGCCUAAAACAUGCAAGUCGAACGAGAAGCCCGGGCUUGCCCGGGCGGACAGUGGCGAACGGGUGAGUAACACGUGAGGAACCUGCCCCGAAGACCGGGACAACAUCGGGAAACCGUUGCUAAUACCGGAUACCUUCGCUUGAUCGCAUGGUCGAGCGAAGAAAUGGAUUCCGCUUCGGGAUGGCCUCGCGGCCUAUCAGCUUGUUGGUGAGGUAAUGGCUCACCAAGGCAACGACGGGUAGCUGGUCUGAGAGGAUGUCCAGCCACACUGGGACUGAGACACGGCCCAGACUCCUACGGGAGGCAGCAGUUAGGAAUCUUGCGCAAUGGGCGAAAGCCUGACGCAGCGACGCCGCGUGCGGGAUGAAUGCCUUCGGGUUGUAAACCGCUUUCAGCAGGGACGAAUUGACGGUACCUGCAGAAGAAGCCCGGCACUACGCGCCAGCAGCCGC